UGCUAGCAAAUAAGUGCGCUAGGGAUUGCAGUGGAAAGCCCACAGCGCCCGAGUUUGUUUUUGAGGGUGCGAGGACUUGUAGCGGAAAGCCCGACCCUUG
RNAcentral lists this unclassified non-coding RNA (100 nucleotides) under Algibacter pectinivorans. Its description in RNAcentral is "Flavo-1 RNA". Lineage: Bacteria; Pseudomonadati; Bacteroidota; Flavobacteriia; Flavobacteriales; Flavobacteriaceae. The record is from RNAcentral.